GUCCUGAGCAGCACCUAAUGGCCCGGCCAAGGGGCAGAGACACGAGCGACUGGGGGCACCUCUGACGUGCAGUUCCUGGCCUCGGUGCUGCCCCCAGACACGGACCCUGCGUUCUUCGAGCACCUUCGGGCCCUCGACUGCUCCGAGGUGACGGUGCGAGCCCUGCCCGAGGGCUCCCUCGCCUUCCCGGGCGUGAGUAGGGGUAAGCGGGCGGCGCGGCGGCCACGGGGUGCUGGGCCGAGCGCGGAGCUGACUUCGCUCCCCGCAGGUGCCGCUCCUGCAGGUGUCCGGGCCGCUCCUGGUGGUGCAGCUGCUGGAGACACCGCUGCUCUGCCUGGUCAGCUACGCCAGCCUGGUGGCCACCAACGCAGCGCGGCUUCGCUUGAUCGCAGGGCCAGAGAAGCGGCUGCUAGAGAUGGGCCUGAGGCGGGCUCAGGGCCCCGAUGGGGGCCUGACAGCCUCCACCUACAGCUACCUGGGCGGCUUCGACAGCAGCAGCAACGUGCUAGCGGGCCAGCUGCGAGGUGUGCCGGUGGCCGGGACCCUGGCCCACUCCUUCGUCACUUCCUUUUCAGGCAGCGAGGUGCCCCCUGACCCGGUCAGUCCCUCCUCUCAACCCUGCUGUCUCCAGGCGACAGGCCCCAAGCCAGCCCUUUCUCUGGCGAGCGGUGUGCCACCCAGUCAGGUCACCCCAGUGCUAUCCCAGGAAGCUGGCAC
RNAcentral lists this small RNA (717 nucleotides) under Pongo abelii (Sumatran orangutan). Its description in RNAcentral is "retained intron". The record is from RNAcentral. Lineage: Eukaryota; Metazoa; Chordata; Mammalia; Primates; Hominidae.